This 468-nucleotide ribosomal RNA is filed under the name uncultured bacterium. Its description in RNAcentral is "partial 16S ribosomal RNA". It matches the Rfam family "Bacterial small subunit ribosomal RNA", at positions 28 to 507 of the family's 1533-position model. The record is from RNAcentral.
GACGAACGCUGGCGGCGUGCUUAACACAUGCAAGUCGAACGGAAAGGCCCUGCUUUUGUUGGGUUCUCGAUUGGCGAACGGGUGAGUAACACGUGAGUAACCUGCCCUUUACUUUGGGAUAACUUCAGGAAACUGGGGCUAAUACCGGAUAGGAGCUCCUGCUGCAUGGUGGGGGUUGGAUAGUUUCGGCGGUUGGGGAUGGACUCGCGGCUUAUCAGCUUGUUGGUGGGGUAGUGGCUUACCAAGGCUUUGACGGGUAGCCGGCCUGAGAGGGUGAGCGGCGACAUUGGGACUGAGAUACGGCCCAGACUGCUACGGGAGGCAGCAGUGGGGAAUAUUGCACAAUGGGCGGAAGCAUGAUGCAGAAACGCCGCGUGCGGGAUGACGGCCUUCGGGUUGUAAACCGAUUUCGAAUGUGACGAAGAGUGAGUGACGGUAAUGGGUAAAGAAGCACCGGCUAACUACGUG